Molecule: ribosomal RNA, 253 nt
Filed under: uncultured bacterium
Lineage: Bacteria
Description: partial 16S ribosomal RNA
Rfam family: Bacterial small subunit ribosomal RNA
Source: RNAcentral
UACGAAGGGGGCUAGCGUUGUUCGGAAUCACUGGGCGUAAAGCGCACGUAGGCGGAUUUGUAAGUCAGGGGUGAAAUCCCGGGGCUCAACCCCGGAACUGCCUUUGAUACUGCAAGUCUCGAGUCCGAUAGAGGUGGGUGGAAUUCCUAGUGUAGAGGUGAAAUUCGUAGAUAUUAGGAAGAACACCGGUGGCGAAGGCGGCCCACUGGAUCGGUACUGACGCUGAGGUGCGAAAGCGUGGGGAGCAAACAGG